GCAGCUGUGGCCGGAGUGGUUAAGGCGUGGGCUGAAAUCCAUUGGGGUCUCCCCACGUAGGUUCGAAUCCUACCGGCUGCG
Molecule: transfer RNA, 81 nt
Filed under: Trichonephila inaurata madagascariensis
Lineage: Eukaryota; Metazoa; Arthropoda; Arachnida; Araneae; Nephilidae
Rfam family: tRNA
About the family: Transfer RNA (tRNA) molecules are approximately 80 nucleotides in length. Their secondary structure includes four short double-helical elements and three loops (D, anti-codon, and T loops). Further hydrogen bonds mediate the characteristic L-shaped molecular structure. tRNAs have two regions of fundamental functional importance: the anti-codon, which is responsible for specific mRNA codon recognition, and the 3' end, to which the tRNAs corresponding amino acid is attached (by aminoacyl-tRNA synthetases). tRNAs cope with the degeneracy of the genetic code in two manners: having more than one tRNA (with a specific anti-codon) for a particular amino acid; and 'wobble' base-pairing, i.e. permitting non-standard base-pairing at the 3rd anti-codon position.
Source: Rfam by way of RNAcentral